AUGGUUCCUGCUACCCGAUUUGUCUUCUGCAAGGAUGGGUUGGAGGUGCGCAGCAUGAAAGCCCAAGAGGACAUGGUCAUCUACUCCAUUCAGAUGAACAUCUCUGUGAGAAGCAGUGGGACAUAUGCAUGUUUGUACCAGCAGAGGAGUGGGAAAAGCUGGCUGAGUUCUGCCCUCAGUCCUCCAUGGGACCUGCAUGUCACAGGUCUUGUGUCUGAUCACACAGCACGAGCUGCACCCCCAGGUGAGGGACUCUCCUUGGCUCCUGCUGAACCUACCCCUGCACCUUUUCCCUAUCCUUCCCCUCUUUUCCCAACCCAUCGUUAUGUCGCUGUUUCACCCCAACUCCUGCAUCACUCCCAUCUGACCCUAUCACCCUCUGUGUCCCCAGACCCCAACUCUCCUCUGAACCCCGUAGUCAUUCAUGUGGUAUUGGUUGCUGUCACCCUCCUCCUGUCUGCAGCCAGCUUCUGGAUCAUUAGGAAAGGUGAGGACUUGAGGGAACUGUGGGGGAUCCAUGAGACUGCCACAGCUUUGAUGUGAGACUGUUUUUCUUACAGGUGGCUGCGGGGAGAGAUGCCAAAGGUGAGCAGAAAGGCAAGGGACAGUAUCUCAACGGUGCUUUUGUCUCAGCGUUCACAGUGACAAAUCCCACUUGCAUGGCAGGUCUCACACUUCAGACUCUGCUAUUCUCCUUUCUUCAGUUCCCCUCACUAUGGUGUUUGUUUCAAGCACAGCCCAAAGCACAGCCCCACACUGGAGGAUGUGGCUGCGUACACAGACAGCAGUGGAGAAAUGUUAUGUAGAUGGCUCAACAAGCAUGGACAGCCACAAGGGGAGGAUGCUGUGGUGGGAACAGGGGAUGUAAGCCCACCACGCAUGCACCUUGCUCUGUUUGCAGCUCCAAUUUCAUUGCAGAGCAGCAGGCUGAAAUUUGCUGUGUAAAUGUAGAAAAUGCCUCAAAUGAUGGGAAACUGCCCCCAAAGCCCAUCAUCUCUGCUCCUCCAAAUCUUCUUGCACAGAGAGGGCAAAUGGGGUUGGGCAGCCAGUCUAGAGCUCAGAAUCUGCUGCCCAAACCAAUGGUGGGUCUUCCCUCUUCCCAAAUGAGUGCCGAGCACUCUUUUUUUUUUUUUUUGUUUUGUUUUGUUUUGUUUUGUUUUGUUUUGUUUUCUGUUUUUGUUUCUUUUUUUUUUUUUCCCCCACAGAUGCCACCAUUGCUCAUUUUAAAAGGGACAAGGUGAGUUGGGGCCCUUUCCCAUUGGAACCAAAGUGAUACGUUGCCCAGAGAUCUCAUUUUCUCACACAUCUCCUUUCCUCACGUUCUCUUUGCUUGCAGAAAAAUGGCAAAUCAUAAGAUAGGUACAGAACACAAGCAUAAAUGUAGAGAGUAAUCCUGGUACAAGAUGUUUGAAGUUCAGAUUUUCGGCUUAGAAAGGACAUGCUAGCUAGAAUCUCAUACAAAA
This 1463-nucleotide long non-coding RNA is filed under the name Phasianus colchicus (ring-necked pheasant). RNAcentral's name for it is "lncRNA (ENSPCLG00000015006.1)". The record is from RNAcentral. Lineage: Eukaryota; Metazoa; Chordata; Aves; Galliformes; Phasianidae.